This is a non-coding RNA of Zonotrichia albicollis (white-throated sparrow), 732 nucleotides long. NCBI's taxonomy places the organism in Eukaryota, Metazoa, Chordata, Aves, Passeriformes, Passerellidae. The record is from RefSeq and is a predicted model, not a curated record.
AGGGGCACCAGCUCAAGCUGAAGUGAUAGCACCAGAAUUAAAUUUAUUGAAGAACCUGGACAUCUGAGACCCUGCUAGAGGAAACCUGGGAGAUUGACUUUGUCAUGGAAGCUGUUGGAAAAGCUACAGGAAAACAAGAGUCAGCAAAGAUACAGUGAACAUAAGAAUUCCAGAGCUGAGGUCAAUGUGAAUAUCCCUAGACCUGAUCUGUGCACUGCACUAAGCUGUUACAGGGAGCUGUAGAAUCUGGGAGAGUCAAUCCACUGCCCUGGGGAAGCAUUGAAGCUGCCUCAACAACAGUUGACAGGAAGAGAACUGACUGAAGUGAGCUGCAGCACCUGGAGCGCUCAGCUCAGGCUGUGUGUGGAGAGGAAGCAGCUGCAGAGGGUGGUUUGCACCAGGCUGGAUCUGGAAUUCACUCUGGAGCAUCACUCCCACCCCAAAAGCUGCAGAGGGAGCAGAGGAUGAUGAGGUCUCUGAUUUAGGCAGCUGUCUGCAUGUCUUCCUGCUGGCUGCUGCCAAUGUGAAAACCCAGAGGAGAUCCUGUCUUAUCGGAAACACCUGAUCAAAGGGGAGAUUUAACAAAGAAAAACUUGAUUGAAAAGGUCUGGAAUGUUAUAUUUAUUUCACUAUUAUGUGAAAUAAAUAGAAAUAGAAUGACUAGACAGAAAAUGUCUAGGAUGUCUGGGAGCUGACUGGUCCUCCUCUCCCUGAGAAUCUCACCUGGAGGAA